Molecule: long non-coding RNA, 606 nt
Filed under: Pogona vitticeps (central bearded dragon)
Lineage: Eukaryota; Metazoa; Chordata; Lepidosauria; Squamata; Agamidae
Description: lncRNA (ENSPVIG00000018013.1)
Source: RNAcentral
CUUGUGAUUCUGUGAUUUGUAACGCAAAAACCCUAAUUUUUCCAGGUCUUUUUAUAGUAUACAGAAGACGAUAGAUUCAUGGAACAUCAAGCAAUGCAGAGGUGCAGCUGGCCAUAUAUGGUGUGUAUGCAGAUGGUCACCGCUUAGUAACUGCAGCCAGCUUCCCAUGACAUAACACGACUACUUGAAAUAUGAUCAUUUCUAGGAAACACAGACCAGAGAUUAUUAAGGAUCCAAUGUGUCAGAAGGCCUGGACAGGAAGAGUUUUGCUCUUAAUUGGUGUAGCUACUGUAAUGUCCCAGAAAGGUUUAGGACAAGUGCUAUAGGAGGUGCUGUGCCACGAGCCUUGGAAUCCAGGUAGUUUCCCCGCUGGGAAGCUUCUCAACCUGUCUCACUUGGUUCAAUUUUGCUCCUCUGCCUCACCUUACCCAUGUGUAGGGUUGCUUUGAACUUUUGAACUUUUCUUGAAGAUCUGUCUCUGUAUUGGAGGAAAAGGUGUGCAAGUUCAGCAUGAGUAUUGCUGAAUGAAAUCUGAAGGGGGCACAGUCUGAUAUAGAAGCCCUUUUCCUUGACCGUUACGCAAAAUAAAUGCAUUUUUUCCCUCCA